This 440-nucleotide ribosomal RNA is filed under the name uncultured bacterium. RNAcentral's name for it is "partial 16S ribosomal RNA". It matches the Rfam family "Bacterial small subunit ribosomal RNA", at positions 338 to 795 of the family's 1533-position model. The record is from RNAcentral.
CCUACGGGAGGCAGCAGUAGGGAAUAUUGCUCAAUGGGGGAAACCCUGAAGCAGCAACGCCGCGUGGAGGAUGAAGGUUUUCGGAUUGUAAACUUCUUUUGUUAGAGAAGAUAAUGACGGUAUCUAACGAAUAAGCACCGGCUAACUCGGUGCCAGCAGCCGAGGUAAUACGGAGGAUGCCAGCGUUACUCGGAAUCACUGGGCGUAAAGCGCGCGUAGGCGGGAUAGCAAGUCAGAUGUGAAAUCCUAUGGCUUAACCGUAGAACUGUAUUUGAAACUGGUAGUCUAGAGUAUGGGAGAGGUAGGUGGAAUUCUUGGUGUAGGGGUAAAAUCCGUAGAGAUCAAGAGGAAUUCUCAUUGCGAAGGCAACCUGCUAGAACAUAACUGACGCUGAUGCGCGAAAGCGUGGGGAGCAAACAGGAGUAGAUACCCCUGUAGUC